CAUUCCAUUAAUACUUCUGGCUCUUGGGAGUCUCUUUGUAGGAUACUUGGCCAAAGUGUGACCUGUUAGCCCAUAAGUAAGUACUGUGACGAAGCGGCUGUUGCUCACCCGACACGAUCGUACGAGGUCACAAUUCACCCAACACGAUCAUCCGGGGUGAACAAGAAUUGGGGAUCGGAUGCGGGCGAAAUUCCCGCCAAUGGCUGAGAUGUU
This 213-nucleotide long non-coding RNA is filed under the name Nicotiana benthamiana. RNAcentral's name for it is "long non-coding RNA (NBEN_LNC013633)". The record is from RNAcentral. Lineage: Eukaryota; Viridiplantae; Streptophyta; Magnoliopsida; Solanales; Solanaceae.